This 24-nucleotide non-coding RNA is filed under the name Cricetulus griseus (Chinese hamster). Lineage: Eukaryota; Metazoa; Chordata; Mammalia; Rodentia; Cricetidae. The record is from RNAcentral.
GAUAAAGGUUACACGCGCCUAUCG